UGAGGAAUAUUGGUCAAUGGGCGGGAGCCUGAACCAGCCAAGCCGCGUGAGGGAAUAAGGCCCUACGGGUCGUAAACCUCUUUUGUCGGGGAACAAAAGCGGGGACGUGUCCCCGUCUGCGUGUACCCGAAGAAAAAGCAUCGGCUAACUCCGUGCC
This 157-nucleotide ribosomal RNA is filed under the name uncultured bacterium. Its description in RNAcentral is "partial 16S ribosomal RNA". It matches the Rfam family "Bacterial small subunit ribosomal RNA", at positions 355 to 509 of the family's 1533-position model. The record is from RNAcentral.